AGCGCUCCGGUGCCGGUGUCUGACCGGGCUGCCCACAAGCAGUACGGGCAGGAGCAGCCUCUGAGCCACGGGCUGACUUUCGGGCUUGCUAAUUAAACGGAGACGUGUGUCAGCUGCCGCCUCCAGCUGCGGGCAUCGCGCCGCAGAAGAAGCGCUGGGCCAAGCUCUGCCAUGGACACGAGUGCUGCAGGUGGUGCCGGUAGGUCUGGGCUCUCCUGGCUGCUGGGCACGAGUUACUGCCCGUGAAUCAAACGAGCCCUGCUCUGUCACCAGCAGUCAGCAGCCGCCUUGCACCUCAGACAGGCCCCGAUCUCACCUAAGAGGGGCUUGCCAGAUGCUUGACUUUGUUUUCAGUGGAACUAUUCAGAGUGUAUUAUGUGAAGCACACACAACAAUCCAAGAGACUUCAGUCAGGAAGUCUUAAUGCACUAAAGACGUAAGCGAAGAAGUGAAAUCGCCAGUGAUCAAAUCAAUUACACUUCAAAUCAGACUGUGGCAGGGCUUUUUGGUUCUCAACCAGAUGGAACUAGACUUCUUGUGAAGGAGGUGUCUGCCCAGCUACCCAAUCACUCCUUGAGGACUGGCUAGAGCCCAGUUACCCUGUCCAUCCUUGUGUUCAGCGUGUCAUAUGAACCACUGGGGUAGCAAAUCUGUGUUCAUUCUUGAUUGCCUUCUCUGGUGUCAUUAGAGCUUUGAUUCUUUUGCCAUAACUCUUACAGACACUUUUCAGUUUUUUUAAUUAAACUGUCUAUGUCUGCUGUGGUAUUUUGUGCAAUGCCUGGUCCUGUAGGCCUGUGUGAGAUGAGCAGUUGCCAGGCUUGCUCCCUCAGGGAAUGUAGGGGAAGAAUUGCCAAGUCUGUGGAUUCAGGCUGGCUUUAGGACUGAGAUAGGUGUAGAGCUGUGCAGGUUCACUGAGUCUCAAACAGUCCUAGGCAUGUAUAGGAGUUCAGGCACCUGAGGUCCAUGAUUUCAGGAAAGCAUAGCUGUGCAUAGGCUUUAGCUGCCUGAGGAAUCAGGAAAGAGAGGCAGGGAUUGAGGAGCAUGUGCUUGGGCUUUGCUGUUUGCAUUGGACACAAGGCCAACUGUGGGUGCUUAGGCCUUUACUGCAGCCAGCACUUCUUUGCAACUGUUCACCCUUCUUUUAAUUGGAAAUUAUUCUCAGUUUU
Long non-coding RNA from Zonotrichia leucophrys gambelii, 1166 nucleotides. RefSeq lists it as uncharacterized. Lineage: Eukaryota; Metazoa; Chordata; Aves; Passeriformes; Passerellidae. The record is from RefSeq and is a predicted model, not a curated record. The transcript is spliced from 4 exons.